CAGUAGCCGCGGUAAUACGUAGGUGGCGAGCGUUGUCCGGAAUUAUUGGGCGUAAAGGGAGCGCAGGCGGACAUAUAAGUCCAUCUUAAAAGUGCGGGGCUCAACCCCGUGAGGGGAUGGAAACUGUAUGCCUUGAGUGCAGAAGAGGAGAGUGGAAUUCCACGUGUAGCGGUGAAAUGCGUAGAGAUGUGGAGGAACACCAGUGGCGAAGGCGACUCUCUGGGCCGACACUGACACUGAGAGACGAAAGCUAGGGGAGCAAAUGGGAUUAGAUACCCCAGUAGUCCCUGUCUCUUAUACA
Molecule: ribosomal RNA, 301 nt
Filed under: uncultured bacterium
Lineage: Bacteria
Description: partial 16S ribosomal RNA
Rfam family: Bacterial small subunit ribosomal RNA
Source: RNAcentral